UGCAGUAGAACGCUGAAGAGAGGAGCUUGCUCUUCUUGGAUGAGUUGCGAACGGGUGAGUAACGCGUAGGUAACCUGCCUUGUAGCGGGGGAUAACUAUUGGAAACGAUAGCUAAUACCGCAUAACAAUGGAUGACACAUGUCAUUUAUUUGAAAGGGGCAAUUGCUCCACUACAAGAUGGACCUGCGUUGUAUUAGCUAGUAGGUGAGGUAACGGCUCACCUAGGCGACGAUACAUAGCCGACCUGAGAGGGUGAUCGGCCACACUGGGACUGAGACACGGCCCAGACUCCUACGGGAGGCAGCAGUAGGGAAUCUUCGGCAAUGGGGGCAACCCUGACCGAGCAACGCCGCGUGAGUGAAGAAGGUUUUCGGAUCGUAAAGCUCUGUUGUAAGUCAAGAACGAGUGUGAGAGUGGAAAGUUCACACUGUGACGGUAGCUUACCAGAAAGGGACGGCUAACUACGUGCCAGCAGCCGCGGUAAUACGUAGGUCCCGAGCGUUGUCCGGAUUUAUUGGGCGUAAAGCGAGCGCAGGCGGUUUGAUAAGUCUGAAGUUAAAGGCUGUGGCUCAACCAUAGUUCGCUUUGGAAACUGUCAAACUUGAGUGCAGAAGGGGAGAGUGGAAUUCCAUGUGUAGCGGUGAAAUGCGUAGAUAUAUGGAGGAACACCGGUGGCGAAAGCGGCUCUCUGGUCUGUAACUGACGCUGAGGCUCGAAAGCGUGGGGAGCGAACAGGAUUAGAUACCCUGGUAGUCCACGCCGUAAACGAUGAGUGCUAGGUGUUGGAUCCUUUCCGGGAUUCAGUGCCGCAGCUAACGCAUUAAGCACUCCGCCUGGGGAGUACGACCGCAAGGUUGAAACUCAAAGGAAUUGACGGGGGCCCGCACAAGCGGUGGAGCAUGUGGUUUAAUUCGAAGCAACGCGAAGAACCUUACCAGGUCUUGACAUCCCGAUGCUAUUUCUAGAGAUAGAAAGUUACUUCGGUACAUCGGUGACAGGUGGUGCAUGGUUGUCGUCAGCUCGUGUCGUGAGAUGUUGGGUUAAGUCCCGCAACGAGCGCAACCCCUAUUGUUAGUUGCCAUCAUUCAGUUGGGCACUCUAGCGAGACUGCCGGUAAUAAACCGGAGGAAGGUGGGGAUGACGUCAAAUCAUCAUGCCCCUUAUGACCUGGGCUACACACGUGCUACAAUGGUUGGUACAACGAGUUGCGAGUCGGUGACGGCAAGCUAAUCUCUUAAAGCCAAUCUCAGUUCGGAUUGUAGGCUGCAACUCGCCUACAUGAAGUCGGAAUCGCUAGUAAUCGCGGAUCAGCACGCCGCGGUGAAUACGUUCCCGGGCCUUGUACACACCGCCCGUCACACCACGAGAGUUUGUAACACCCGAAGUCGGUGAGGUAACCUUUUGGAGCCAGCCGCCUAAGG
RNAcentral lists this ribosomal RNA (1421 nucleotides) under bacterium. Its description in RNAcentral is "bacterial SSU rRNA". It matches the Rfam family "Bacterial small subunit ribosomal RNA". The record is from RNAcentral.